RNAcentral lists this long non-coding RNA (6862 nucleotides) under Homo sapiens (human). Its description in RNAcentral is "HSALNT0251232". The record is from RNAcentral. Lineage: Eukaryota; Metazoa; Chordata; Mammalia; Primates; Hominidae.
UGUUCUCCUGCCUGGGGAUCCUGUAAAAGGACACGAUCAAAGCUGGAGCUGAUGGAAACAGGACCCAGGAGACACCUGAAAUUAGUCCCUGCCUCCAGUCCCUCCAUUAAAUCUCUCCAAAAAGGAGCAGCUGACGGCAUUCUAGUGGCAACACAGGGCCCUCGAGACCACAGGCAAGCAGACACGUGGCCCAGAAGGAUUUCUGUGGGGGUUUUGCUUGUCCUGCCCAAGUGUUUGCCCAGCAGACUGCUCUUCUCGAGUUGCCAGGCGAGGUCACACCGCAGAGUCUCGCUGGGAGUGGGCACUUCAGACCCGGGUGCUGAUUCAGCUGGAAUGGAAGCAUCCAUUUCCUAAGCAGUCAGCCAGAGUUGAGCUUAAGGAGGCAAUACCCUUCUGGAUGGCCGUGAGUACCACAAGGGUAAAUAACCGACAUGGAUUUCAGGACAGUCUUACUUCACAUAGCAGACGUGUCCACUGGGCUCACAUUGGAUGGAGAAAAAUCUCGAUCUGUUUAAAGGAAGCUACAGGAAGCCAGCUGGCAAGAUGAGUGUUGUAAUGUGAGCAAACAUCCCUUAGCCAUCCAGCAGGUAUGAAGUUGUGUCGGUUUGGUUUGCUUAAAUCGGGAGCCACAUCUGAGAAGAAAAUCCAUUGUUCAGAAAGGACGCACCAUUGUAAAGAAUAUCAUGUGGACAAAGUUUUGGUGCUUUUUAGGAAGCAGUUUAGUGCUCUGGCUAAAUGAGGAUUAAGCAGAAAAGACUUUUUGUUUCAACUCCUGUUGCUGGAAAUCUCUCCAAAGAGUUCCCAUUCAAUCUCCUGCCUGGGUACAUAGCUGCCAGGGAACAGAAUUUAAUGUUUGAUGACUGAGUGACUUCCUUAGCUUCCAGUCUUUCUGAAUUUUAGUUCACUACGGUGCAAGGCUAUAGGCAGAAGUGUGGAAAACUGGAGUUACAUUUGGCAGCUUGGUCUGCAGAAGGUUCAGAAGAGAAAUUAAUUUGAAGUUAAAAACCAAAGAGUAACACGACUCCUAACGAGGCUUAUUUUUGUUUUGCUGUUCCUUGGUUUACUCCUGAAAGCAAAUCCAGUCUCUACCAUCACCUCAGGUGAGUUACUUCUAGGGGGCCUUUCUAGGGGGCUGGCUGAUUUCUAUGUCCUUACCUGGCUCUCCCAUUGUGUGUCUGAGAACCGUGGUGCUCUGGCCCCUUGAUAUUUUGCUCUUUUCUGCAUGCCAUGAUUGUAUCAGAACUCUCUGUGAAGGCAGCAGAUCAGUGCCACCGAGAAAACAGCAUGCUCCAGAGAGCUGCGUGUACCGAGUGUCAGUAUCUGGUGCCAUUCAAGAAGAUGGCAGGCUUUACAACAUUGGAUUCUCUUCCCAAACCGUCGGAAGGUGUGAAGUAAACAGCACUGGCCUCCCUUGAGAAGGCGAAGGAUGCAGGUCAUUCUGGUGUGAGGACUGGCUUGAUCUCACAGAGCCUCACAUCUGGAAUUUGGGGUCUUGGUCUCCAGAUGGGUGGCAAGGGAAGAUGCCAGGACAGGAGUCCUGCCUGGCUGGAUAAGCAAUCCCACGGCUGGCUUUAUGCCAUCCCGGUGCCUCCCCCACAUGCACUGCACAUUCAUUUCUCUACGCGUUCUUGUAGAUGACAGGAAAAUCUCACUUGGUAAAGCAGAUGUGUCCAUUGGGCCCCCGCUGGAUGAAGGAAAGUUUCCCUCUGCUUAAGACUUAAAGGGAACUGCAGGAUCUUCCCCAUAGCCACGUGUGGGAUGCUGGCCAUAUUCUCUCUCAUUGGACAGUGAGUGAGGAAGCCAAGACCCACCGGGCUUGGCAACUUGCUUGAGGUGGCACAGUUAACACUCAGGAGGCAGGGCUGGAACCCAGGCCCCUGAUGCCAGCCAACUGGCCUUUCUUCCACUUUGCUUCUGUGCCUUUAGAAGAAAGUUUCUAGGUGGGGAAUUCAAGGCACAGGCAGUAAUGUUUGCUCCUGGUCACUUGGUGAGUUGGGAGCAGAAUGGAGACUAGAAAUCAGAUCACCUGAAUCUCAGGCCAAGGUUUUGUUCCCAAAGGAGCAAUGGUUUUAGUACUGUGUGUUUCUGGUGGGCAUGGAACAUCCAUCAUGAGUGCUGUGAGCUAGGAGGCUUAGAGAGGAAACAGGAAAACAAGAAGGGGUGAGAAGAGAAGGAGAUGGAGGACAGCCAGGUGAACAAAGAUGGGGCCCGGUGCCACCGAAACAUGGAGACGUCUGCAGGGCACCUAACACACUGCUCCCGGCCCUCUGGCCUCAAUCCCUAUGGGUCUGCCUGGAGCCUCCUUUUUCAUCCUAUUUAGAUUCAUCCCAGUGCCUUCCCACUGAUGCCUUCUGGAGAGUUCCCAAGGCUGUUCACCCAGGCCUGCCUUCACCUGUCUUCCUCGGUGGUUGGAGCAAUCUGACCUCCCUCCCUUCCCACACAGCCUGCUCUCUGAGGGUGGCAGCUGCUGUAGUUAAUGAAUGGGUCCAAGCCACAGCCCACUGUGAUGGGGAGGCCAGGAGGUGUCUUCUCCUCACCCCCCGAAGGCAGAGCUCACCCAAGGGAGUGAAGGGGAAUAAAAGCUUUUUUUUUUUUUUGAGUCAGGGGCUCGCUCUCUCACCCAGGCUGGAGUAUAGUGGCUUGAUUACGGCUCACUGUAGCCUCAAACUCAUGGGCUCAGGUGAUCCUCCUGCCUCAGCCUCCUGAGUAGCUGGGACUACAGGUGCACGCCACCAUGCUCAGCUAAUUUAUUUUUUAUUUUUAGAAAAAGGGGUCUUGCGAUGUUUCUGCGGCUGGUCUCGAACUCCUGGCCUCAAGCAAUCCUCCCACCUCAGCGUCCCAAAGCACUAGGAUUAUAGAUGUGAGUCAUCACGCCUGGUCAAAGCUCUUCUUAAUUGCAAUAACAGAAGCCACUCAAAUAAGUUUAAGCAAAAAAGGGGCUCCACCAGGUUAUUUAAUGGAAUCAAGCCUCCAAAGGAAUGAAAACAUUAGCCAGAAAGUGCUCUAGCAACAGGGCAGCCCCCUCUCUCUACUCCGACUUCCCUUCUUUCCUUAGCACCCUCCAUCUGCACAACACAACCUGGCUCUCUCUGGCUCAGGAGGUCUCCGUGGUGCCAUCUGGUCUGUUCUCAGACAUGAAGGACUACAAGGGACCACAGGGGUCUGUUCUCAGACCUGACCCACUUCCUGCUGGUCAGGAGUGGGAGCAUGGAUGGUGAUCAGACGCCUUAAGGGGGACAUCCAGAGAGAAGCGAGACAAUCUAACCACUGUUAGUCUAUCACUGGACUCCAGCGCCAUGCCACCCUACACCCAGCUCCAUGCCACCCUACAUCCAGCUGUGUUGCCAGUUCUCCUGCAGCUCUGGGAGGGAGGAAACUUCUCCUCUGGGGCUGAAAGAGCUGUGUGGGUAAAUUCCAGGACUCUUAAAAAUAAUCUGGUCUAUAUAAGUUUUCCACUUAAAUAUAAACUCCACGAAGGCAGGAACCUUGUCUAGAGUCUUGUGUUUCAGCCUUGUAUCUCCAACACCUAGACCAUAGUUGGCAUUCAAAUAUUUGUUAAUUGAAUAAACGUAUUUAUUUUAAAACAGCUUCAUUGAGGUAUAACUGAAAUACAAUAACUGCACAUAUUUAGUGUGCUAUUUUGGUAAGUUUACACACACACACACACACACACACACACACACACACACCCCAUCACCAAUAAAAAUAAUGAACAUAUUAGGUCAGGAGUGGUAGCUCAAGCUUGUAAUCCCAGUACUUUGGGAGGGUGAGGCAGGCGGAUCACUCGAGGUCAGGAGUUCAAGACCAGCCUGGCCAACAUGGUGAGACUCCCGUCUCUACUAAAAAAAUAUAAAAAUUAGCUGGGCAUGGUGGUGCUUGCCUGUAAUCUCAGCUACUUGGGAGGCUGAGGCAGGAGAAUCACUUGAACCUGGGGGAUGGAGAUUGCAGUGAGCUUAGAUCACGCCACUGCACUCCAGCCUGGGCAACAGAGCAAGAUUCUGUCUCAAAAGAAAAAAAAAAGAACAUAUUCAUCAUCCUCAAAAUAUUCAUCAUUCCUCUUUGUAAUCCCUUUCCAUCCCUAGGCAACCACUAAUUUGUUUUCCAUCACUGUAGAUUAGUUUGCAUUUUCUAGAAUUUUACAUAAAUGGAACCACACAGAAUUUACUUCAUUUAUUUCUGUCAUCUUUCACUCAGCACAACUCUCCUGAGAUACAUCUGUAGUGUUGUGAAUGGUUUAUUCCCUUUUAUUGCCCAGUGGUGACUCCACUUUAUGGAAAGACUAGUGUUUUCAUUUGAAUGUUGAUGGACAUUUGGGUAGCUUUUAGGUUUUGGUUAUGGAAAAGCUGUGAUGAACAUUUGUAUACAAGUCUUUCUAUGAACAUAUGCUUUCAUUUCUCUUGGGUAAAUACAUAGAAGUGAAAUGUCUGGAUCAUAUGACAGAUGUAAGUUUUACUUUUAAAGAAACUGCCAAAUCAUUUUCCAAAAUGGUUAUAACAUUGAUUUUCAAAUAUUAAAUGAAAUUUGCAUUCCUGGGAUAAAACACUCUUGGUCAAUAUGUAUUAUCCUUUUUAUAUAUUGUUGGCUUCAAUUUGCUAAAAUUUUGUUUAGAAUUUUUGCAUCAAUAUUAAUGGAAGAUAUUAAUCUGUCACUUGCUUUUCUUAUACAGGUUUUUGUCAUGUUUUGCUAUCACAAUAAGGUUUAGAAUGAGUUGGGAAGUAUUCUCUUCAAUUUUUGGGAGAGUUUGUAGAAUUGAUAUUAUUUAUUUCCUAAAUAGCGGUAGAAUUCACCAAUGAAGCUAUUUGGGCCUGGAGGGUAUUUUUUUCUUUGUGGGAAGAUUUUAAACUACAUAUACGAUGCUUUUCAUAGAUAUAAGGUAUUCAAAUUAUCUCUUAAAAUUUUUUUCAAGAUAUAAUUCACACGUCGUAAAAUUCACCAUUUUAAAGUGUACUAUUUAGUGGGUUUUAGUUUAUUCACAAGGUAAUACAAUCAUCACUACUAUCUAAUUCCAGAACAUUUUCAACAACCUAACAAAAAACUCCAUACUCAUUAGCAGUCAUGCCCCAUUUUCUCCCAUUUCUCUGCCCUGGGCACCACUAAUCUAUUUUCUGUCUCUAUGGGUUUGCCUAUUCUGUACAUUUCAUAUAAAUGGCAUCCUACAAUAUGUGGCCUUUGUGUGACUGGCUUCUUUCACUUAGGAUAAUGGUUUCAAGGUUCACUCAUUAUAGCCUGUAUCAGCAUUUUAUUCCUUUCUAAGGCCUGAAUAGUCAAAACAAUCUUGAAAAGGAACAAAGUUGGAGUAUUCAUACUUCCUGACUUCAAAACGGACUACAAACUGCAGUAGUUGAGAUAGCAUAGUACUGGAAUAACAGCGAUAUAUACAGCAACAAAAAAUGAAGUCUAGAAAUAACUCUUACAUUUAUAGUUAAGUGAUAUUUGCAAAGAUUCCAAGACAAUUCAAUGGGAAAAAAUAGUGUUUUCAAGAGAUGGUGCUGGGAUCAUUACCCACAUGCAAAAGAAUGAAGUUGGACCCCCUAUCUCAUACAAUGUAUAAAAAUCAACUAAAAAAUGGAUCAAAGACCUAAACUGAAGAGCUAAAACUACAAAAAUUGAAGAAAUCAUAGGCAUAAAUCUUCAUGACCUUGGAUUAGACAGUGGUUUCUUAGAUAUGAUGCCACAAACAAAAGCAGCAAAAGAAAAAGGACAUAAACUAGAUAUCAUCAAAAUGAAAAACUUCUGUGCUUCAAAGGACAACAUCAAGGAAGUGAAAAAGACAACACAAAAGAACUUGAGUUGAAAAUUUGGGUUGAAAUUUUUUUUGCAAUUAUCCAUCUAAUAAGGGACUUACAUUUGGAAUAUUUAAAAAACUUUUAUAAUUCAAUAAUUUUAAAAACCCAAUUAAAAAUGAACAAAGGGUCUAAAUAGACAGUUCUCCAGAGAAGAUAUACUAAUGGCCAAUUAGCACAUGAAAAGAUGUUCAACGUCAUCAGCCAUCUGGGAAAUGCAAAUCAAAACCACAAUGAAACACCACUUCACAUCCACUAGGAUGGCUAAAAUUUAAAAAAAAAAAAGUGUUGGUGAGGAUGUGGAUAAAUUGAAUCCUUAUACAUUGCUAGUGGGAAUGCAAAAUAGUGUGGCCCCUUUGGAAAACAGUCUGGUAGCUCCUCAAGCAGUAGCACAUGACCCAGUAAUUUCGCUCCUAGGUAUAUACCCAAGAGAAGUGAAAACAUAUCCACAUAAAAACUUGUACAUGAAUGUUCAUGGCAGCUUUAUCAUAAGAGCCAAAAAGUAGCAACAACCCAAAUGUCCAUCAGCUAAUGAAUGGACAAACAAAAUGUGACAUAUCCAAACAAUGAAAUAGUACUUGGCAAUAAAAAGAAAUGAAGUACUCAUACCUGCUUCAAUCACAUGGAUAAACCUUGAAAACAUUAUGCUGAGUGAAAGAAGUCACAAAGGACCACAUGUUGUGUGACUCUACUUAUGUGAAAUAUUCGGACUAGGCAAAUCCAUAGAUAGAGAAAGCUGACUAGUGGUUGUCUAAGGUUGGGGGAUGAGGGACCUUGUGGGGACAGGUGAUGCUGAAGGGGGAUGGGAUGAUGUUUCUUUUGGGGGUAAUGAAAAUGUUCUAAAACUGAUUCUGCUGAUGGACAUACAUUUCUGAAUACAUUAAAAGUCAUUGAAUUGUAGACUUUAAAUAGGUGAACUGUAUGGUAUGUUAAUAUAUCUCAAUAACAUUGUUUUUAAAAAGAGUUUAGGCCAGGCGCGGUGGCUCACACCUGUAAUCCCAGUACUCUGGGAGGCUGAGGUGGGCGGAGUACCUGAGGUCAGGAGUUCAAGACCAGCCUGGCCAAUGUGGUGAAACCCU